UCAGGCUGAAUUUAUUAAAGGAAUAUUCUCUAUUUGAUGUGCCACGUUCUGUGCGGUUCUGUUUUCUGCACUGAUUCACACACAUCUGGAUUCAAACCCAGAUAUGAGGCAGAAGGGGACGUUCAAAGGCUGUGGGGAUGCCGCCCCGAAGCUUAUCCUUCAUCCAACCCACUCUCCCACCUCUGUCCUGCUGAGGCCCAGAGAAAGCUCCUUCCACAAGGCUGGUGUGGUAAACACGCCUUUAGAAAGUCUCCCAUCCACGCUCAGGAAGAUCUGAAAGCAAAACGCCUUGAUGAGAAGGGAGGACUUGGCAUCAGGAAAAGAUUGCUUUCCCCGCGCAAAAUACUGAUGUUCAGUAAUACUGAACCACAGAAAAUCCAGGCAAUGAAUUAGAAGACCAACUAAGGAAAUUUACCCAGAAUUCUGAGGAAAAGGAUAAAGAGAUGAAUAGAAGGUUUUUGAAAAUUAAGAGACUUGAAGGAAGAUUGGAAAGAUCUCCAGCACAACAGGAAAGCCAGAUGGCAAGAAGAAAGCGAUGGGAGAAAACUAAGCUGAGGCAGAGAAGAGUGCAGAGAGACCUGAAGGGGACAGCCAGGCACCAGGCGAGAUUAAUGAAGAGGGACACCCCCCCCGCCCCCGCCCCAGCAGGAGACAUACUACAAACGUCUGAAUCCAAAGCACCCAGGCCAGCUUCGAGCAGGUGUUCCCCGGCCAGUGGCUGGAGGGCAAGCAGUGACCUGGCCUCCCCCCUAGCCACAGGCACAAAGCAGGUGCUCGUGGGGCGCUGGCUAGAUGUCACGGGGAAACAGGCCCUGACGAGGGCGAGGGCGGCAGGAAGGAGUGGACGGGAGUGAGUCAGGCCUAUCCGUGUGCAGGCAGAACCUGUGGUCAGCGGUGGAGCCAACUCCCUGAGAGUGAACUUUUUAAGGAAGAAACUAGCCAAAGGUCAACAAUUCAACUGCCUGGGGAGCCGGAGAGGUAAGUAAAUGUCUGUGAAAGGCAGACCCCCUGAAAAAUAUUCGUACUCAAAGGCCCCAUGAAAACAUUCUUACUCAAAAAAUUUUGAGACGCUGCAGAAGACCAAUGAGGUUGGCCAAUGUGUGUCCUCUGGACUGUCCAUUUUACAAAGACAUACGACAUACUCAGUGUCACUUCACACUCAGCUCUGUUCAUUCACUGGUCAGACGUUUCUCAUCCUUGGGUAUAACCCUGACAAUUACAGUCUGAAUGGCCCGUGUGCUUACUAUUUGAUGAAAUCAAAUUACUCUCCUUGCUGAAACAUUCCUCCACGUUAGAUGGCUAAGCCACCGGGAGGCGACCUCACAAUGUUUGUCAUGGUAUUAGGUAGGGGUGUUUAUUGAAGGUCUACCGUGAUCAUUUGUGAGCCCGGAUUAAUUUUGCUAAAUUUAGCUUUUCAAGCACUGCUCCUGGUACAUACACAAUUAGGCACGGCAUUUUUUACAGGUAAAAGUGACCUCAGUGUUGUCAAGGAUAAUACAAUCGCCUCAAUAUUACACAAAUAUUUUAAAAGUCUGAAGAGACAUUUUUUUGGGAAUAAUGGUCAAAGCUGACCAUUUCACCUAAAUAUGAAAUGAAACAGAAACCUUUAGGUCAGUUACCAGUCUGCAUUCUUUUCAUGCCAGGGCAAAGGCUAGACUUGUAUUUUAGUUAUUGUUUCCCUUUGUCUGAGUAUCUUACGCAUCCUUAUUUGGAAGUUUUCCUUUCUGGCCUGCAAUUGGAAAAAAAAAAAAAAUAGUACUCUGUAGAACUUCAAAAUGCUUUCUAGUCUGGCCGCCAUGUAUGACGAAAUCAUACAGUUCUAAAAGGUGGAAGGGACAUCGUAGAUGGAGCUCAAGCCCUUUACGCACAUGAAAACCCAUCAAGGUCAAAAAAGAAGAGACGAGCCUGAACGUGUGCCUCUGAAUCCCCUGUUUUGUCUAAUACUCCCAGAAAAACAAUCACCUAGAAAAAAAUGGAGUUUGUUUAUUUCACGUAAUCCACUUAUAAUCAAGCCUCAUCAGCCGUCUCUUGCGGUAUCAGUCCCUUCAAGCUGACCGCACACGGCCUCAAAUCUGAAACCCUCACAUCGACUCUUACAGCCUUGAGUGGUACAGGACAUUAAAAUUUCUCGAGGGGGCACCAUCACAUUAGUGAAGCUUCCCAUAAAUCCUGGCCCGCAGCACGCGCCCGCGUUCUGUCCUUCCUUGCUCCCCCCGGACCUCACUCUUCCCUGCAUUCCUCCGCUUCACCUUCCCUUCUCCUCGCACAUCCGUCCCCUGCGCCUCACCUUCUCCUGCACCUAGUGCCUCCUCUCUCGCUUCCUCCCAGCCUGGCCCUGCAUGGGUCCCGAGGCUGAAAGAAGCCUAAAUGUAUCUGCUUCUCACAACCCCCUGGCUCAGCCUGACCAAGCCCUGGGGGCCAGUCAGCAAGCAGGGCAAACAAAGGAUCCUGUCCAGCUUCGGAGAAAGGAAGCCUACCAGGUGCGGAAGGGUCUACCUGAGGAGGUGACAUCAGGGCUGAAGAAGCCUGAAAGGAUGAAAAGUAGGAUGAAGGUAACAUUUAUCUUGCAAAUGGCAUUUUUGAAAAUGAAAAUAAUAGGCGUGCACUGACCCGCAACAGGUGUUCACUGGGACUUAGCCUGGACAAGGGGGACUUCUGGUCGACCUGCAGAGGAGUCCGUGGACCAGUUCUGUGAGAGGAGCAUCCGGGCACAGGGCAAGGAGAAGGGGCACGGGGUGGUUGCCGGGAGGCCCGUGCAUCUCAGGGGAGGGCUGAGGCGAGGGGACGGCGUGUGCCCACGCCCGCGUGUGCGAAAAUACUUUAUCUCACCAGGAUGGCACUGUACAGCCGGAGAUACUCGGCCCCCUGAGAUGCUGUCCUCAACCAGCGGAACAGAAAGAGGUCUCCGGAGAAGCUAAAACUGUCUGUGCCCAAACUUCACACCUUUUUGUUGAUCAGGAGAAGCCCUUCUGGUUUAGACACGGUUCUGGCUGCUUUCGUUACUGGUUUCCAGGCACACGGGGACUGAGGAUGAGUGAGGGGAGUCCAGCAUGCGGACAUGGACGGACCAAAGCCAUCAAGAGGUCCCCAGCACCAUCCCCACCCCACCCCCGGAGUCCAGGCUGGUAACAGAACCAGUACUGUGACAGUAAAGGAAAAGCAGGAUUGUCCAUAAUGCCUCAAGGACUAUCUUGUAUCUAAAGUGGUUAGCAUAAGGCUCCGGAUACGAGAAUUUAGGACAAACCAGAGGACAUUUUAACGUGCAGCUUCCACGAAAAUGUAACCACCGCUCCAAUUACUGUUGUCUCCUUGAUUUUCAUUCCUUCUUCUUUCUUAAUCACCUACAACUACUGGUUUUGAAAACCCUCACCAGGGCAUAAAGCACAAAAGCAGAAUGCCACAGAAAGUCAGGAUGUCAGGGAAGGUGUGAGGGGCACGUGGACACACAAACACACGCAAGCAAACAACACCCACACACAAACGUAACCUGCAAAGAGAGACUGUCUCAUCAUGUCUCUGGUCCGGCCUAUAACUAACUGCACGUAACACGCGCAAUGGAAUGUACUCAGAUUGAAGGAAGGGCAGAGCGGAAGAGACCAAAACGCGACUAUAAACAGAUAAUUUUCAGAAUAGUUCUAGGACCACUUUGAAUGGACUCCUUGUUUAUCUGUGAAAAAAUCAGAAGGUUAGACUGCUGAUAAUUUAACCUUCAAGAUUUUUUUUUUUUUUAAUUUGGCUGCUGGUAGAGAGAAAAGCAGGACCAAUUAGAGGAAGAAAAAUGAAUUCUCUGGCAGAUAAAACAAAGGGGAUUUUUCAAGGGCUUGGGAGGCUGUUGGCACUGGUUCUUCAUUGGAUAGAGUUUCAGGUCAAAAUGUAUGACUUUACCUUUCCAGGUUUAUCAUAACCCCUAAUCUGAACACUUAUCCAUAAUUAGGUUCAAUUUGGAACACGGAGCUGGAGAGGGGAGGAGCGUGAAGAAGCGAAGGGAAAAAAAAGACUAAUUUUUCCAAAGUAACGGAGCAGAGGUUAAAAACAAUGAAGGGGGCAGGUCACUGGAAAGAGGGUAUCUACGAAUAGGUGGGAAUUGUGAAAAGCCACAGGGAGAUACUGCCCGUGGCCUGUUGGGCCUCUGACAGGGGUGGCUCCCCGUGCCCGGCCCCAUGGGAGUCGCUGGCCCGGGAUAUCAGGGUUAUCUUUGUAGUGGUGUGGAAUGUGGAAAAUCUCUUUCUGUGAAACAAGCUUUUCUGAAGUUCAUACCAGUAAGUGAUUUUUUUUUUUUUUUAAAUCUCGGUUUUAAAUAUGUGGCCAACCACAUCGAUUUUAAAAUAUAAAGCCUACCUUCUCCUGAGAAUUAAAAAAUUUCCAGGAAAUACAAGGGGCGGCUGCCAUCAAUUCAUUACAGCCGGGCUGUUCGCUAGGGCCUCUGGGGAGUGUUGGGGGCUGUGGAGAUGAGAUGAGGGGGGCAAGUAAGUGUUCUCGGGUAGUUCUCCCUCCGCUGGAGAACAAACCGUCCUACGACGUCCACGUGAAGGCCGGGCACCAGAGGGCAUCGAAGGCCAAGUCAGAAGUGGGCCGGCCGACUGGGGAAGUGGCAUCUCCUGACGCUGAGCAGCAGGGGUGAGGCCAGGCCAAUGGGACGGGUCUGGUAGAAGGACGGUCCCAGGGGACUGCUUUGUCAUGGGAGUGCGACAUCUUCAUGAGGAGACGCAGAAACCUUCAAAAUGCUCGGCGCCUUCAUGAUGCUUCUAGGAUACGACCACACAGGCUGGUCUCAUCUGACUGGAGCCAUAUCAAACUUUUUAAAAAAGUAAAACAGAGUUCAACUGGCUAGAAAGCUCAUACCUAAAGCACAUCUGGGUGACAAGCUCAACAAAGAAAACCCCAGUCUCCCCCACCCACAAAAUACCUGACUUAGAAAGUUUAAGUCUAAAAAAAUCAUAGGGAUACCUGGCUGGCCCAGUCAGUGGAGCACAAGACUCCUUAUCUCAGGGUCGUGAGUACGAGCCCCAUGGUGGGCAUAGAACUUACUGAAAAAAGAGUCUAAAAACAUAAAAUCAUAGGAUAUUAAAGUUAUCAGAAACUUCAGAGCUAACCUUGCACGCACACCCUUUUACCCAUAUAAGGCAACAAGGAACCAAUAAAAACUUAACAAUAAUUCAUCUUUCAUGUUAAAAAAAAACAAAACAAAACCAAAAGGGGUAUUAAGGAAAAUGCGACCUAAAAUGGGAUUAUAAGAGGAAAAUUUUUUUUAAGUUUAUUUAUUUUCAGAGAGAGAGCGAGCGAGCUCAAGUGCAAGUG
Molecule: long non-coding RNA, 5298 nt
Organism: Acinonyx jubatus (cheetah)
Lineage: Eukaryota; Metazoa; Chordata; Mammalia; Carnivora; Felidae
Exons: 3
Source: RefSeq, a predicted model, not a curated record